UGAGUAUUCCAGAUUGCAUAGC
RNAcentral lists this microRNA (22 nucleotides) under Drosophila melanogaster (fruit fly). RNAcentral's name for it is "dme-miR-960-5p". Its record names the gene dme-miR-960-5p. The record is from miRBase by way of RNAcentral. Lineage: Eukaryota; Metazoa; Arthropoda; Insecta; Diptera; Drosophilidae.